Molecule: ribosomal RNA, 497 nt
Filed under: uncultured bacterium
Lineage: Bacteria
Description: partial 16S ribosomal RNA
Rfam family: Bacterial small subunit ribosomal RNA
Source: RNAcentral
GACGAACGCUGGCGGCGUGCCUAAUACAUGCAAGUUGAGCGCUGAAGGUUGGUACUUGUACCAACUGGAUGAGCAGCGAACGGGUGAGUAACGCGUGGGGAAUCUGCCUUUGAGCGGGGGACAACAUUUGGAAACGAAUGCUAAUACCGCAUAAAAACUUUAAACACAAGUUUUAAGUUUGAAAGAUGCAAUUACAUCACUCAAAGAUGAUCCCGCGUUGUAUUAGCUAGUUGGUGAGGUAAAGGCUCACCAAGGCGAUGAUACAUAGCCGACCUGAGAGGGUGAUCGGCCACAUUGGGACUGAGACACGGCCCAAACUCCUACGGGAGGCAGCAGUAGGGAAUCUCCGGCAAUGGACGAAAGUCUGACCGAGCAACGCCGCGUGAGUGAAGAAGGUUUUCGGAUCGUAAAACUCUGUUGGUAGAGAAGAACGUUGGUGAGAGUGGAAAGCUCAUCAAGUGACGGUAACUACCCAGAAAGGGACGGCUAACUACGUG